CAUGAUCGAUGGCGGGCGAACGCGUCGUUUACUUGGUCAGGUCUGAGAGGAAGCAGCCACAAUGGCAUCCGUUCGGGUCGCCAUCGGUCACUUUG
This 95-nucleotide signal recognition particle RNA is filed under the name Alphaproteobacteria bacterium. RNAcentral's name for it is "signal recognition particle sRNA small type". It matches the Rfam family "Bacterial small signal recognition particle RNA". Rfam says of the family: The signal recognition particle (SRP) is a universally conserved ribonucleoprotein involved in the co-translational targeting of proteins to membranes. The record is from RNAcentral. Lineage: Bacteria; Pseudomonadati; Pseudomonadota; Alphaproteobacteria.